RNAcentral lists this transfer RNA (70 nucleotides) under Phakopsora pachyrhizi. Its description in RNAcentral is "tRNA-Ser". Lineage: Eukaryota; Fungi; Basidiomycota; Pucciniomycetes; Pucciniales; Phakopsoraceae. The record is from RNAcentral.
GCCCACUUAGCUCUGUGGUUAGAGCAUCACUCUUGAAUGUUGAGGUUUCAGGUUCAAUUUCUGCAGAGCA